Molecule: unclassified non-coding RNA, 297 nt
Organism: Callithrix jacchus (white-tufted-ear marmoset)
Lineage: Eukaryota; Metazoa; Chordata; Mammalia; Primates; Cebidae
Rfam family: Metazoan signal recognition particle RNA
About the family: The signal recognition particle (SRP) is a universally conserved ribonucleoprotein. It is involved in the co-translational targeting of proteins to membranes. The eukaryotic SRP consists of a 300-nucleotide 7S RNA and six proteins: SRPs 72, 68, 54, 19, 14, and 9.
Source: Ensembl
GCCAGUCGCGGUGGCAUGUGCCUGUAGUCCCAGCUACUCGGGAGACUGAGGUGGGAGGUUCACUUGGGCCCAGGAGUUCUGGGCUGCAAUGCGCUAUGCCUAUCGGGUGUCCACACUAAAUUCGGCAUCAAUAUGGUGACCUCCCGGAAGUGGAGGAACACCAGGUUGCCUAAGGAGGGUGAAGCAGUCCAGGUCGGAAACGGAGCAGGUCAAAACUCCCACUGAUUAGUAGUGGGAUCCUGCCUGUGAAUAGCCACUGCACCCCAGCCUGGGCAACACAGCAAGACCCCAUCUCUA